GGGUUGUGAGGUUAAGCGACUAAGCGUACACGGUGGAUGCCCUGGCAGUCAGAGGCGAUGAAGGACGUGCUAAUCUGCGAAAAGCGCCGGCGAGGUGAUAUGAACCUUUGACCCGGCGAUGUCCGAAUGGGGAAACCCAGUGUGAUUCGUCACACUAUCGUUAACUGAAUACAUAGGUUAACGAGGCGAACCGGGGGAACUGAAACAUCUAAGUACCCCGAGGAAAAGAAAUCAACCGAGAUUCCCCCAGUAGCGGCGAGCGAACGGGGAGCAGCCCAGAGUCUGAAUCAGCUUGUGUGUUAGUGGAACGGUCUGGAAAGUCCGGCGAUACAGGGUGAUAGCCCCGUACACGAAAGCACACAGGUUGUGAACUCGAAGAGUAGGGCGGGACACGUGGUAUCCUGUCUGAAUAUGGGGGGACCAUCCUCCAAGGCUAAAUACUCCUGACUGACCGAUAGUGAACCAGUACCGUGAGGGAAAGGCGAAAAGAACCCCGGCGAGGGGAGUGAAAAAGAACCUGAAACCGUGUACGUACAAGCAGUGGGAGCACCUUCGUGGUGUGACUGCGUACCUUUUGUAUAAUGGGUCAGCGACUUAUAUUCUGUAGCAAGGUUAACCGUAUAGGGGAGCCGAAGGGAAACCGAGUCUUAACUGGGCGUUAAGUUGCAGGGUAUAGACCCGAAACCCGGUGAUCUAGCCAUGGGCAGGUUGAAGGUUGGGUAACACUAACUGGAGGACCGAACCGACUAAUGUUGAAAAAUUAGCGGAUGACUUGUGGCUGGGGGUGAAAGGCCAAUCAAACCGGGAGAUAGCUGGUUCUCCCCGAAAGCUAUUUAGGUAGCGCCUCGUGAACUCAUCUUCGGGGGUAGAGCACUGUUUCGGCUAGGGGGCCAUCCCGGCUUACCAACCCGAUGCAAACUACGAAUACCGAAGAAUGUUAUCACGGGAGACACACGGCGGGUGCUAACGUCCGUCGUGAAGAGGGAAACAACCCAGACCGCCAGCUAAGGUCCCAAAGUCAUGGUUAAGUGGGAAACGAUGUGGGAAGGCACAGACAGCCAGGAUGUUGGCUUAGAAGCAGCCAUCAUUUAAAGAAAGCGUAAUAGCUCACUGGUCGAGUCGGCCUGCGCGGAAGAUGUAACGGGGCUAAACCAUGCACCGAAGCUGCGGCAGCGACGCUUAGGCGUUGUUGGGUAGGGGAGCGUUCUGUAAGCCGUUGAAGGUGUGCUGUGAGGCAUGCUGGAGGUAUCAGAAGUGCGAAUGCUGACAUAAGUAACGAUAAUGCGGGUGAAAAGCCCGCACGCCGGAAGACCAAGGGUUCCUGUCCAACGUUAAUCGGGGCAGGGUGAGUCGACCCCUAAGGCGAGGCCGAAAGGCGUAGUCGAUGGGAAACAGGUUAAUAUUCCUGUACUUGGUGUUACUGCGAAGGGGGGACGGAGAAGGCUAUGUUAGCCGGGCGACGGUUGUCCCGGUUUAAGCAUGUAGGCGGAACGAUUAGGUAAAUCCGGUCGUUUAUUAACGCUGAGGUGUGAUGACGAGGCACUACGGUGCUGAAGUAACAAAUGCCCUGCUUCCAGGAAAAGCCUCUAAGCAUCAGGUAACAUCAAAUCGUACCCCAAACCGACACAGGUGGUCAGGUAGAGAAUACCAAGGCGCUUGAGAGAACUCGGGUGAAGGAACUAGGCAAAAUGGUGCCGUAACUUCGGGAGAAGGCACGCUGAUAUGUAGGUGAAGCCCCUGCGGGUGGAGCUGAAAUCAGUCGAAGAUACCAGCUGGCUGCAACUGUUUAUUAAAAACACAGCACUGUGCAAACACGAAAGUGGACGUAUACGGUGUGACGCCUGCCCGGUGCCGGAAGGUUAAUUGAUGGGGUUAGCGGCAACGCGAAGCUCUUGAUCGAAGCCCCGGUAAACGGCGGCCGUAACUAUAACGGUCCUAAGGUAGCGAAAUUCCUUGUCGGGUAAGUUCCGACCUGCACGAAUGGCGUAAUGAUGGCCAGGCUGUCUCCACCCGAGACUCAGUGAAAUUGAACUCGCUGUGAAGAUGCAGUGUACCCGCGGCAAGACGGAAAGACCCCGUGAACCUUUACUAUAGCUUGACACUGAACACUGGUCCUUGAUGUGUAGGAUAGGUGGGAGGCUUUGAAGCGUGGACGCCAGUCUGCGUGGAGCCGACCUUGAAAUACCACCCUUUAAUGGCUGGUGUUCUAACGUAGACCCGUAAUCCGGGUUGCGGACAGUGUCUGGUGGGUAGUUUGACUGGGGCGGUCUCCUCCCAAAGAGUAACGGAGGAGCACGAAGGUUAGCUAAUCCUGGUCGGACAUCAGGAGGUUAGUGCAAUGGCAUAAGCUAGCUUGACUGCGAGAGUGACGGCUCGAGCAGGUGCGAAAGCAGGUCAUAGUGAUCCGGUGGUUCUGAAUGGAAGGGCCAUCGCUCAACGGAUAAAAGGUACUCCGGGGAUAACAGGCUGAUACCGCCCAAGAGUUCAUAUCGACGGCGGUGUUUGGCACCUCGAUGUCGGCUCAUCACAUCCUGGGGCUGAAGUAGGUCCCAAGGGUAUGGCUGUUCGCCAUUUAAAGUGGUACGCGAGCUGGGUUUAGAACGUCGUGAGACAGUUCGGUCCCUAUCUGCCGUGGGCGCUGGAGAAUUGAGGGGGGCUGCUCCUAGUACGAGAGGACCGGAGUGGACGCAUCACUGGUGUUCGGGUUGUCAUGCCAAUGGCACUGCCCGGUAGCUAAAUGCGGAAAAGAUAAGUGCUGAAAGCAUCUAAGCACGAAACUUGCCCCGAGAUGAGUUCUCCCUGACCCUUUAAGGGUCCUGAAGGAACGUUGAAGACUACGACGUUGAUAGGUCGGGUGUGUAAGCGCAGCGAUGCGUUGAGCUAACCGAUACUAAUGAACCGUGAGGCUUAACCUUACAACGCCGAAGCUGUU
Molecule: ribosomal RNA, 2932 nt
Filed under: Enterobacter asburiae
Lineage: Bacteria; Pseudomonadati; Pseudomonadota; Gammaproteobacteria; Enterobacterales; Enterobacteriaceae
Description: 23S ribosomal RNA
Rfam family: Bacterial large subunit ribosomal RNA
Source: RNAcentral